AUGGCUUAUUAGCGAGUGGACGGCCCGGCGGCUGCCGACACUAUACCUUGGUACUUAAAUUUGAUGUAAAGUGCUUACCUAUUGGUUAUAACUUAUAAAUAGGUAUUAGGUAUAAGACAGGUCAACGAAGUAUACACGAAUGUAUUGCCACACAGAAGCGAGCGGUCAGCGUAUACGUCUCGAUUCACGACUAUAGGAGUCACUCCAAAGUCCAAACACACGAUUGUGACUUGGAUUCUGCUGCUACUUGCAUUUGACGGUUUUUCAAAACAACGUAGUCAGGACUCUUGGACAGCUGCGCCCUCAGUCUCAUUGCAAAUGUCGGAUCCAUUCCUUCAUCCAUUUCUGUGUUUAUAUAUGCCU
This is a long non-coding RNA of Aphis gossypii (cotton aphid), 363 nucleotides long. RefSeq lists it as uncharacterized. The record is from RefSeq and is a predicted model, not a curated record. The transcript is spliced from 3 exons. NCBI's taxonomy places the organism in Eukaryota, Metazoa, Arthropoda, Insecta, Hemiptera, Aphididae.